RNAcentral lists this non-coding RNA (21 nucleotides) under Caenorhabditis elegans. Lineage: Eukaryota; Metazoa; Nematoda; Chromadorea; Rhabditida; Rhabditidae. The record is from RNAcentral.
UAUUUAUCUAUUCAAUAUUAA